UAUCUGGUUGGGUUUAUAGACUGGACAGAGAAGUAGUGUUUGCAGAAAGGGAUUUCUAUUUUGAGAAGAAUCUUCAUAUAUAACUGAAUAUUAAAACAUUCUGGCCGGCCUCGGGUCUGAGUCCCCAAGAAUCGGAUGCUAUUUUUCGUGUCAACACUCAUGACCACAUGCUGCCCAUGACCUUGGAACAAUAUAUACCCAGCGAGGUGCGAUGUACACAACUUCUGAAACGGCAUUGACUGUCUGAGGAUAUAAACUGUGUGAGGAUAUAGACUGUCUGAGGAUAUAGACUGUCAAGGGCUGCUCAGGUGGCGAGGCAAAAGCAAUCAAGCGUGAAGCCGGCCUAAGAUUGGGCGGCCCAGAAUCGGGAGUUGAGU
Belonocnema kinseyi is the source of this 377-nucleotide long non-coding RNA. RefSeq lists it as uncharacterized. The transcript is spliced from 2 exons. The record is from RefSeq and is a predicted model, not a curated record. NCBI's taxonomy places the organism in Eukaryota, Metazoa, Arthropoda, Insecta, Hymenoptera, Cynipidae.